GUCGAGGGGUAUAGUUCUUCGGAGCUAGAGACCGGCGCACGGGUGCGUAACGCGUAUGCAAUCUACCUUUCACAGAGGGAUAGCCCAGAGAAAUUUGGAUUAAUACCUCAUAGUAUUAUAGAGUGGCAUCACUUUAUAAUUAAAGUCACAACGGUGAAAGAUGAGCAUGCGUCCCAUUAGCUAGUUGGUAAGGUAACGGCUUACCAAGGCUACGAUGGGUAGGGGUCCUGAGAGGGAGAUCCCCCACACUGGUACUGAGACACGGACCAGACUCCUACGGGAGGCAGCAGUGAGGAAUAUUGGACAAUGGGCGCAAGCCUGAUCCAGCCAUGCCGCGUGCAGGAUGACGGUCCUAUGGAUUGUAAACUGCUUUUGUACGAGAAGAAACACCUCUACGUGUAGAGAUUUGACGGUAUCGUAAGAAUAAGGAUCGGCUAACUCCGUGCCAGCAGCCGCGGUAAUACGGAGGAUCCAAGCGUUAUCCGGAAUCAUUGGGUUUAAAGGGUCCGUAGGCGGUUUAGUAAGUCAGUGGUGAAAGCCCAUCGCUCAACGGUGGAACGGCCAUUGAUACUGCUGAACUUGAAUUAUUAGGAAGUAACUAGAAUAUGUAGUGUAGCGGUGAAAUGCUUAGAGAUUACAUGGAAUACCAAUUGCGAAGGCAGGUUACUACUAAUGGAUUGACGCUGAUGG
This 690-nucleotide ribosomal RNA is filed under the name Flavobacterium sp. T3.05.LWF.W.Kidney.D. RNAcentral's name for it is "bacterial SSU rRNA". It matches the Rfam family "Bacterial small subunit ribosomal RNA", at positions 61 to 752 of the family's 1533-position model. The record is from RNAcentral. Lineage: Bacteria; Pseudomonadati; Bacteroidota; Flavobacteriia; Flavobacteriales; Flavobacteriaceae.